GACGAACGCUGGCGGCGUGCUUAACACAUGCAAGUCGAACGGAAAGGCCCUGCUUUUGUGGGGUGCUCGAGUGGCGAACGGGUGAGUAACACGUGAGUAACCUGCCCUUGACUUUGGGAUAACUUCAGGAAACUGGGGCUAAUACCGGAUAGGAGCUCCUGCUGCAUGGUGGGGGUUGGAUAGUUUCGGCGGUUGGGGAUGGACUCGCGGCGUAUCAGCUUGUUGGUGGGGUAGUGGCUUACCAAGGCUUUGACGGGUAGCCGGCCUGAGAGGGUGACCGGCCACAUUGGGACUGAGAUACGACCCAGACUACUACGGGAGGCAGCAGUGGGGAAUAUUGCACAAUGGGCGGAAGCCUGAUGCAGCAACGCCGCGUGCGGGAUGACGGCCUUCGGGUUGUAAACCGCUUUCGCCUGUGACGAAGCGUGAGUGACGGUAAUGGGUAAAGAAGCACCGGCUAACUACGUG
Molecule: ribosomal RNA, 468 nt
Filed under: uncultured bacterium
Lineage: Bacteria
Description: partial 16S ribosomal RNA
Rfam family: Bacterial small subunit ribosomal RNA
Source: RNAcentral